RNAcentral lists this ribosomal RNA (497 nucleotides) under uncultured bacterium. Its description in RNAcentral is "partial 16S ribosomal RNA". It matches the Rfam family "Bacterial small subunit ribosomal RNA", at positions 28 to 507 of the family's 1533-position model. The record is from RNAcentral.
GAUGAACGCUGGCGGCGUGCCUAAUACAUGCAAGUCGAGCGAACAGACGAGGAGCUUGCUCCUCUGACGUUAUCGGCGGACGGGUCAGUCCCACGUGGAUAACCUACCUAUAAGACUGGGAUAAUUUUGGGAAACCGGAUCUAAUACCGGAUAAUAUAUUGACCCUCAUGAUUCAAUCGUUAAAGACGGUUUUUCUUUCACUAAUAGAUGGAUCCGCGCCGCAUUAACUAGUUGGUAAGGUAACGGCUUACCAAGGCAACGAUGCGUAGCCGACCUGAGAGCGUGGUCGGCCACACUGGAACUGAGACACGGCCCAGACUCCUACGGGAGGCAGCAGUAGGGAAUCUUCCGCAAUGGGCGAAAGCCUGACGGAGCAACGCCGCGUGAGUGAUGAAGGUCUUCGGAUCGUAAAACUCUGUUAUUAGGGAAGAACAAAUGUGUAAGUAACUAUGCACGUCUUGACGGUACCGAAUCAAAAAGCCACGGCUAACUACGUG